Molecule: unclassified non-coding RNA, 700 nt
Filed under: Hevea brasiliensis (rubber tree)
Lineage: Eukaryota; Viridiplantae; Streptophyta; Magnoliopsida; Malpighiales; Euphorbiaceae
Source: RNAcentral
UUUCAUUCUUGCUUGUAUUUUUUAGGUUGCGUCAGGGAUGUGCCUCUCCACAAUUGAUGUGUCGGAGAUCCAGAAAUCAGAGAACUUUUAUCGAUGAUUCUUGUAGUUGGAUAUUCAUGGCUACUUUUGAGGUGAAGGCAGGUCGAGAAUGGUGGAACUCCUGCUGAUACUAAUUGCAGUUGGGUAUUGUAGGUGGGUUUAAAGUUGCUUGAGAUGAUAUUCAUUUGCUUUGUUCUCCUUUCCCUCUUGAAAUUUCUCCUUAUAAAGUUGAAGAAGGUCUUGCCUGGCAGGAAAGAAAAUGGAAAUGGAAUCCAAUGAUUGCUUUGAUGUCACUGCUUGUGAAAGUUGAAUUUCAAUGCGUGUUCUUAGACCGUAGGAGCAUUAUAUAUUUCUGAGGAUUUAAUCUAAAAUCGUUUAGAAUGGAGAAAGCGAAUUCAUAUAGUGGACUCUAAAUUAAAAAAAAAAAAAAAAAAAAAGCUGAAUUGAGUUGUUCUUAGAUUGUAGGAGCAGCUGCUCUUUUGGAACCCCCAUAGCACGCGGUAGACAUUAGUUCAAUUGGGCUCUGCGUGAGUGGGAGGUUGCAUUUAUAUAUACAUUAAAGGCCCAUGAUCUUUUGUGGUGGAUCCAUUUUUGGGUGGCCUGUUUGAAAUGGAGUUGGUCCCAUCUAUGGAGAUUAAACCAAAAAAGAUCAUGGGCCUUU